CCAAGGCAGUGGGUUUGGUUUUUUUUGGUUAAUCUUUAAGGAAGCAGAUCACCAGGUCUUUCUCCCAUAGUAUCCCUGGUUGGGUUCAAACCACCAACCUUUCAGUUAGCAGCCAAGCACUUAACCAUUUUGCCACCAGGGCUCCUUACAGGAAGACCUCCUCAGCUCCGCAGCUGUUAGCAUUUGACGCAGAGCUUGGCCAGCCCUGUGCUUCAGAGGAAAUGUCACAAAGAAGGAGGGGAUACCAAAGACAAAAUGAACAGAUCAGGGAAUUUUUGCCUAGAGUGAUUGAAUGUAUGUUCUCAGAGGUGGAAUAAUUUGGAAAAAGAAACAGAACGGUUUCACAACUUGAAGAAUGCAAUCAAUGUCACUGAAUUGUACACAUAGGAAUUGUCAAAGUGCUAUAUGUCCAGUUGUAUAUAUUUUUACCACAAUGAAAAAAAAUGAGCAAAUUGACCAAGAUGAGGCUGAGCACGGAGCGGGGGAAGAGGACAGAAAAGAGGCCAUCUUGAGUACAGCUUAUGUCCAAUGGAAGAAAAAAAAUGUGGUUUUUCAUUUCUUAAACGUUAUGAAAGCAUUUAGACACACUGAGAUAAAGAUUGUCCAUGUAGUUCUCCCCCCUGGAAUGCUCUUUCCUCUUCUCCCCACCCAACUCGGGCAUCACAUCCUCCUAGGGACAGUGCCAAUUCCCCUUCAUCACCUACUCUUGUCGUUAGCCAUGUUUGCAUCAGGUCUUUUUCUAUGUUUGGGGUGCGGGGGGAGUUCAGAGGUAGAUAAAACCUUAUGUGCCUACCAUGGAUUGAAUUGUCUCCCCCCAAAAUAUGUGUCAACUUGGUUAGGCCAUGAUUUCCAGUAUUGUGUGGUUGUCCUUCAUUUUGUGAUUGUAAUUUUCCUGUGUGUUGUAAAUCCUAGUCUCUGCCUGUGGUUAAUGAGGCAAGAUUAGAUUACGUUAAAGUGGAUUAGGGUGGGACUGUAACACCUUUACUAAGGUCACAUGCCUGAUUCAGUGUAAAGGGAGUUUCCCUGGGGUGUGGCCUGCACCACCCUUUAUCUUACGAGAGAUAAAAGGAAAGGGAAGCAAGCAGAGUGGGGGACCUCAUACCACCAAGAAAGCAGCACCAGGAGCAGAGCGCAUCUUUGGACCUAGGGUUCCUGCUCAGAGGAGCUCCUAGUCCAGGGGAAGAUUGAUGACAAGGACCUUGCACGAGAGCCGACAGAGAAGGGAAAGCCUUCCACUGGAGCUGACGCCCUGAAUUUGGACUUCUAGCAUAUUAGACCAUGAGAGGGGGGUUGUGAGCUGGUCCUUAAACAUUUCUCAGCAUGCCACUGAGAAUAGCAUACUUACAGGCAAGUUCACAUAUCAGGAGUGUACAGUUCAAUGAAUUUUUACAAACUGAACAAACUUGUAUGACCAGCAAAGAGGAAGAAACAGAAUGGCACCCCCUACUUGUGUCCGCUUCUAGUGGCUACCCAAAGGUCCUUUCUGAACUGCAUCAACUCUGAAGGCCAGAAAAGCAAGGUUUUCCGAAGAACUGGAUCACACAGAGUACAACGCUAGAGCAGAACACAUUAAGAAAAAGGAAAUUUCAAAGGGAGACACUGCACUCAAAGGGAGAGUGUGAGGCUUUACCAACGUUGACAAGGAGUGUGUAAACACAGGAAAAAUGCUUACGCU
Long non-coding RNA from Loxodonta africana (African savanna elephant), 1675 nucleotides. RefSeq lists it as uncharacterized. The record is from RefSeq and is a predicted model, not a curated record. NCBI's taxonomy places the organism in Eukaryota, Metazoa, Chordata, Mammalia, Proboscidea, Elephantidae. The transcript is spliced from 3 exons.